UGCGGAAAUUGGUAAGAUUUU
This 21-nucleotide non-coding RNA is filed under the name Caenorhabditis elegans. Lineage: Eukaryota; Metazoa; Nematoda; Chromadorea; Rhabditida; Rhabditidae. The record is from RNAcentral.